UACGAAGGGGGCUAGCGUUGUUCGGAAUUACUGGGCGUAAAGCGCACGUAGGCGGAUUGUUAAGUGAGGGGUGAAAUCCCAGGGCUCAACCCUGGAACUGCCUUUCAUACUGGCAAUCUCGAGUCCGAGAGAGGUGAGUGGAAUUCCGAGUGUAGAGGUGAAAUUCGUAGAUAUUCGGAGGAACACCAGUGGCGAAGGCGGCUCACUGGCUCGGUACUGACGCUGAGGUGCGAAAGCGUGGGGAGCAAACAGGAUUAGAAACCCCCGUAGUCC
RNAcentral lists this ribosomal RNA (273 nucleotides) under uncultured bacterium. RNAcentral describes it as "partial 16S ribosomal RNA". It matches the Rfam family "Bacterial small subunit ribosomal RNA", at positions 524 to 796 of the family's 1533-position model. The record is from RNAcentral.